UUGGGCGGUCAUACCGGCGGGGAAACACCUCUUCCCAUUCCGAACAGAGCAGUUAAGCCCGCCAGGGCCGAUGGUACUCGGAGGGCAACCUCCCGGGAGAGUAGGUCGCCGCCCAUU
Molecule: ribosomal RNA, 117 nt
Filed under: Actinomycetes bacterium
Lineage: Bacteria; Bacillati; Actinomycetota; Actinomycetes
Also listed under: 1 other name
Source: RNAcentral